AUGAACGCUGGCGGCGUGCCCAAUACAUGCAAGUCGAGCGAACAGACGAGGAGCUUGCUCCUCUGACGUUAGCGGCGGACGGGUGAGUAACACGUGGAUAACCUACCUAUAAGACUGGGAUAACUUCGGGAAACCGGAGCUAAUACCGGAUAAUAUAUUGAACCGCAUGGUUCAAUAGUGAAAGACGGUUUUGCUGUCACUUAUAGAUGGAUCCGCGCCGCAUUAGCUAGUUGGUAAGGUAACGGCUUACCAGGGCAACGAUGCGUAGCCGACCUGAGAGGGUGAUCGGCCACACUGGAACUGAGACACGGUCCAGACUCCUACGGGAGGCAGCAGUAGGGAAUCUUCCGCAAUGGGCGAAAGCCUGACGGAGCAACGCCGCGUGAGUGAUGAAGGUCUUCGGAUCGCAAAACUCUGUUAUUAGGGAAGAACAAAUGUGUAAGUAACUAUGCACGUCUUGACGGUACCUAAUCAGAAAGCCACGGCUAACUACGUG
This 496-nucleotide ribosomal RNA is filed under the name uncultured bacterium. RNAcentral describes it as "partial 16S ribosomal RNA". It matches the Rfam family "Bacterial small subunit ribosomal RNA", at positions 29 to 507 of the family's 1533-position model. The record is from RNAcentral.